This 494-nucleotide ribosomal RNA is filed under the name uncultured bacterium. RNAcentral's name for it is "bacterial SSU rRNA". It matches the Rfam family "Bacterial small subunit ribosomal RNA", at positions 903 to 1397 of the family's 1533-position model. The record is from RNAcentral.
AAAGGAAUUGACGGGGGCCCGCACAAGCGGAGGAACAUGUGGUUUAAUUCGAUGAUACGCGAGGAACCUUACCUGGGCUCAAACGCACUUGGAAGCGCGCCGAAAGGCGUGUGCCAGCAAUGGCCGGGUGCGAGGUGCUGCAUGGUUGUCGUCAGCUCGUGCCGUGAGGUGUCGGGUUAAGUCCCAUAACGAGCGCAACCCCUACUGCUAGUUGCCAGCGCGUCAAGGCGGGGACUCUAGCGGAACUGCCGGCGUAAGCCGUGAGGAAGGUGGGGAUGACGUCAAAUCAGCACGGCCCUUAUGUCCAGGGCUACACACGUGUUACAAUGGCCGGUACAGAGGGCAGCCACCCCGCGAGGGGGCGCGAAUCCCGAAAGCCGGUCCCAGUUCGGAUCGGAGUCUGCAACCCGACUCCGUGAAGCUGGAUUCGCUAGUAAUCGCGCAUCAGCUACGGCGCGGUGAAUACGUUCCCGGGCCUUGUACACACCGCCCGU